Molecule: transfer RNA, 65 nt
Filed under: Patelloida saccharinoides
Lineage: Eukaryota; Metazoa; Mollusca; Gastropoda; Lottiidae
Description: tRNA-Ser
Source: RNAcentral
UAGGAAGAUUAACGUGCAUUAGGGCUUCUAACCUUGAGGCGGGCGGUAGUGUCGUCCCUUCCUAA